Molecule: long non-coding RNA, 3492 nt
Filed under: Canis lupus familiaris (dog)
Lineage: Eukaryota; Metazoa; Chordata; Mammalia; Carnivora; Canidae
Description: lncRNA (ENSCAFG00000056871.1)
Source: RNAcentral
UUCCUUCAUUAACAUAAAAGCAUUUCCUAACAACUGAGGAACAAUCUGUAGGGUAAUCUAAAUAGAUUAACAGAUCCCCUCCGUUGUUCUUUACAUGAGAUCCCUUUAUCACAAACACUACCUUUACUUAAGAUACUGAGUUUUUAAAAUAGAAAUAAGUGAGUAAAACUGAUAGUAAAGAUCCACAUAGGAAGGAAGGGAAACAAAGAAAGCCAUGAGCCUUUGCUCUAUGAUACUGAGGCUGAGACUCUGUAAACCACAUUUCUCAGGCUUCUUUGCCACCUGGCUCCCUGCUAGAUCCUGCCCACAGGAGGCAGUGGACUGAUGAAUGAGAGCAGAGGAGGAAGAUGUUUCAUGAGGUCCAGCUCCUUUGGGGCAUUCCUCUUGCAGCUGCCGAGAGCACCAGUCCUAGGACAACCCUUCUGUGAACUGUGACUGCCAGAUGUACCCCAAGGAUGGUCCUCAAGCAUGGCUAUGUCCCCCCACCCCCUCUACCACAAUCCCAGGCUAGGGCCUAUCCACAUGAGGCAUCUCCAAGGAAGAUUCUGGUAACACUAUCUCUUCCCUUUUGUUCUCUCAAUCCUCAAGGUAGUGGUUGCUUCUUGCCAUUACUAGUCUCUGGAUUACCUUGGUGUCCACUUUUCGUUCUUCCUUUAUUUGCAUAACCAAUUCUCUAGUAUUAAAUCUACUUCCUGAAACUUGUAGAAUGGUUUUCUGUUUGCUGACUGGACCCUGGGAGAGUAUGACAAUGAAACCAGAAGGUUAAUAAACAUGAGAAUGCACCUGUUUUGUGCCAUGUCACUGAGAUUGGUAUGGAUCUACUACUUGUGUACACUGAGGUCCAUGCACUAAAUAACCCUAUCUCCAAGGGCUAAGGCUAUUUAUUCAAAUGUUUUUUUACAAGAAGUUCAUGGUAGGCAUGGUGUGAGGGGUUAUGCAGACUCAGCCCAUAUUCUGAUUUCUCAGAACCAGUUUUAAGGAUCUGUCUUUAUUCAAGGGGCCAAAUUUUUAACACUGAUAAAGGCAAUUGCAGGAUUCUAAAAUAAGAAUACUAAAACAAAUAAAAUAAACACAAUAUUUUUACAACACAACUGGUUCAAAUAUCUUUAUUAAGAAAGGAAUCCCAUUCUUAAUGUGAAAUCUAAAAAUAGUAUAAUGGAGGCAGGAUGCCAAAGCUCGGGAAAAAUGAUUUCUAAAUGGACAUGGAACAUUUUGAAUAUAUGAAAUGUAUAAAUGUUUUUUCAGUCAAGUUCCUUUGACUUUGAGAAGAUGUGCAAAGAAAGAUGGAAAUAAUCUUGUAAGGGGAGAUUGUACCUUUACUCAAAUUAACAUCCAAGAAAGGAAACUCAACCUAUAAAGGGCACACAUUAACACAUUCUAAUGCUGCCCAACUCCUCUUUCAUAAAAACAGUAUAUGUUACAUCUAAUGAAAUCUUACUAUAAAAAUUAAAUGUUUAAUGAUUUGCCAAAAGUAUUUCCAAUCUCUGUGGACUUUGAGCCCCACUGUUGAGUAGAGUUUGCAGCACAGAGACAAACUUACAUCAGACCAGUAAAAACUAAAGCUUUCCACUUAAAGGAUCCAUUCCCUCAAACAAUGGUCCUGUCUAAUCCUUGUACAAAGUCCAGGGAGAGAGGGCUUUGGCUGAUAAGAAUGUGACCAUCCUUGUGUGUGUGUGUGUGUGUGUGUGUUGUGUGUGCAGCAAACAAUCAACCAUCCCAUUCCUUGGCUGAUUCUCCAUCUCCUUCUGCUCAGUGUCCCAUGGAGCUGCCCUAGGAGGAACUACCCUUCCCUCAAGCUGAUAUGAUUAUUCUGCUCACCAUCAUGGUUUUAGUUCUUAUCGGAAGUCAAUAAAUUUGCACUGAUAUUUUACACAUCAGCUUGGUAAUCUGGAAUUAUUGGAGUCCAUCUCUGAAAAAUAAAACUACCUUUCUUAUAAUCACAAAAUGUUUCUGAGCCACGAGGCUAAGGGGCAGAUCCUGGAUUACAUAAAGCAAUGAUUCUCAAAGUGUGGUCCUUGGAUCAGAAGUAUCAACAUCAUCUGGGACUUGUUAGAGUUGCAAAUUCCUGGGCCCAACCCCAAAUCUCUUGAGUGAAGGGGGUGAAGGCCAGCAUUCUGUUUUAACAAGCGCUCCAGGGGAUUCUGAUGUCUGCUCAAGUUUGAGAGCCUUCAAAUUGAAAUGACAUAGUUAUUUGAGGGUGGGUAGGGAACGGAUAGUUAACUUUAGAUGUCGACUUGGCUAGGCCAUCGUGCUCAGUUACUUGGUCAAAUGCUAGUCUAGAUGUUGUUAAUAGAGGUAUUUUUUAGAUGAUUAACACUUAAAUUCAUGGACUGUGAGUAAAGCAGAUUAAUUACCCUCUAUAAUAUACUAGGCCUCACUCAUCCAAACAGCUGAUGGACGCAGGGAAAAGAUUGAGGUCCCCAAUAGAAAAAAGGAACUCUUGCCUCCAGACUGACUUUGGACUUAAGACUUCAACUCUUGUUGAAAUUUCCAGCCUGCCAGCCUGCACUAUUGAUUUGAGACUUGUCAAUCCCAGCAAGAGCCAAUUCCUUAACAUAAAUCUCUCUUUCUCUCUCUCUUUCUCUCUCUCUCUCACACACACACAAACACACAAACAUACACACACCUAUUGGUUUUGUUUAUCUGGAAAACCCUAACACAGGUUUAAUGUGUGUGUACAUUAGACUAGGAUUCUCUUUUCCAGUACUGUAUGCUUCAGUGCCUACAAUGUAGUAGGUUCUCUAUAUUUUUGAUGUAUGUAUGAACUGUGGUAAGCCCACUGAGAAAAGGAAGUGGAUAAUUUGCCCCUGUGAGGGGGCUCUUGGAAAACAGUCAACCCUGAGGACACCUCCCCUAAAUUCCUGUGAGCAAUAAACGUCUCCUCAGGAAUCUUCUAGAGUGUAUAGAUAACCAACAGGAAAUCAUAUUCAGGAACUGUAUUUAGUAUUUCUGAGUUUAAUUUCUUAUAAAUGAAAGGAUGCUCAGCACUCAGCAGGCUAUUCUUAAGAUUCCGUUCUAUCCACAGGACCCACUGUUUUAAGUGGCAUGAGUGCAGUGACUGCAUCUUGUCAUUUCUGUUAUGCCUUAUAAUCUACAGCAUGAUUUUAGAGUAGAUUCUUAUCACUACAUUGUUUUUUCUGAAAAGAGUGAAACUGAAAACCUAGUCUCACAUACUGUUACUUUUAGUGUUUGCCCCAAUACAUUAACCUAAAGAAUGUACUUUCCUGAGUGAUAAGAACAGAACACAUGGACGAGGAUGCUCCCCGCCACAUCUCAGUUAGACGCUCAGCAGAGGCAGCUAAGGACAGAGGCACAGCUUAGUCUCUAGGCUGAAUGGAUUGUUUCUGAGGGUCAAAAGUCAUCUUGAUCAGACUAUUUGAAAAGUCUGGGAUGGUCAUUCUAUCUGCCACAUGAAAUCAGAAAAAAUAAACAUUCUUUGGCUCACCUCCACCCUUGCCUUCUGAAGACCAAGUCAAAUUGCUUUGAAAAUAU